UCGGGACUUGAGACCGGCGCACGGGUGCGUAACGCGUAUGCAAUCUACCUUAUACAGGGGAAUAGCCCAGAGAAAUUUGGAUUAAUGCCCCAUAGUGUUAUAGAAUCGCAUGGUUUUAUAACUAAAGUUCCAACGGUAUAAGAUGAGCAUGCGUCCCAUUAGUUAGUUGGUAAGGUAACGGCUUACCAAGACAAUGAUGGGUAGGGGUCCUGAGAGGGAGAUCCCCCACACUGGUACUGAGACACGGACCAGACUCCUACGGGAGGCAGCAGUGAGGAAUAUUGGUCAAUGGGCGCAAGCCUGAACCAGCCAUGCCGCGUGCAGGAAGACGGUCCUAUGGAUUGUAAACUGCUUUUAUACAGGAAGAAACCUCCCUACGUGUAGGGACUUGACGGUACUGUAGGAAUAAGGAUCGGCUAACUCCGUGCCAGCAGCCGCGGUAAUACGGAGGAUCCAAGCGUUAUCCGGAAUCAUUGGGUUUAAAGGGUCCGUAGGCGGCCUUAUAAGUCAGUGGUGAAAUCUCCUAGCUCAACUAGGAAACUGCCAUUGAUACUGUAGGGCUUGAAUUUUUGUGAAGUAACUAGAAUAUGUAGUGUAGCGGUGAAAUGCUUAGAUAUUACAUGGAAUACCAAUUGCGAAGGCAGGUUACUAACAAACGAUUGACGCUGAUGGACGAAAGCGUGGGGAGCGAACAGGAUUAGAUACCCUGGUAGUCCACGCCGU
This 723-nucleotide ribosomal RNA is filed under the name unidentified microorganism. RNAcentral's name for it is "bacterial SSU rRNA". It matches the Rfam family "Bacterial small subunit ribosomal RNA", at positions 82 to 803 of the family's 1533-position model. The record is from RNAcentral.